GGGCCGUCCUCUCCCUCUGGAUGCCCUCGGGGCACAAGGCUUUCAAGAUCCGGCACCCUUAGUGUGCGAUCCACCGUGCGCACAUUCCUCUACUGCGCGCGCGCGAGCCGGCCUUGGGUCGUCCGGUCUCCAGCGCUGCCUGGAAUCAGGGCGGAACCGGCCACCGUGGCGAGGACCUGCCGGUGUGCUCUUGCUGAGCCCGGUACAGAUGGCAUUUGUUGAUGGGAGGUAAUAAGAGAAUAAAACACCAGAAGGAUGAUGACUCCAAGAUCGUUGCUGUAUGAGAAAUCGCAUUCUUCAUUCACAGAACAUUUGUCGCUCAGUAGGGAUUAGCCAGACGCUGAGGUACUGUAACAGAUCAGCCUCAGAACCUACUUACCUGUCAGCGCCAGUCUAGAAAAAACUUUUUUCCCCCCAGAUCCUAAAGGUCGUUUUCCUUCCUUCUUUUCUUCUAAAUUUCCAUUGAUAAACAUUUGAGUUGUUUUCGGGUUUUUUUGUCCACUGGAAAUGAAGCGGCCACGAACAUUCAUGUACCAGUCAUUUUUGUGGACUUUACGUUUUAAUUUCUCUUUUGUAAAUAACUAAAGUGGAAGUACUGGGUCAUAUAAGUGGAUGUUUAACUUACAGGAGACUGUCACGACCUGGGCUUGGCAGUUUGUCGCCCAGCAGCAAAGAGAAUGUUGCAAGAGGAUUGUAAAGCUUGGGGGUGGAGGCCAGCUGAGGCUACCCAGAAAAGCACUGCCAAAAGACAAAACCAGGGGCUGCAGAGCCGGCUCUGUGCUUCAAGGCGCUGGCUGAGGACAGAGGUUCGAUUCCCAGCGCCCACAAGGCUGCCCACAAAUAGAGGACUCAGAAGGCAGAGGCAGGAGGAUCUCUGUGUGUCUGAGGCCAGCCUGGUCUACAUCGUGAAUUCCGGGACAGCCAGGGCUACAUAGAUAGACCUCGACUCAAAUAAAACAAAAAGGAACUUUGAUUUGGCUCGGGUAUCCCAGGUCAAGGUCCACUGAUGGAAACUCAAGGCCUGGAACCUGCUUCCCCGCCUGAUCCCAGCCCAGCUGUAACCCCCACUGUGGCUGGAGGACUGUCCUCUCCAGGGGCCGGUGCCUACUUAAGCCGGAAAGCUCGG
Molecule: RNA transcript, 1126 nt
Organism: Peromyscus californicus insignis
Lineage: Eukaryota; Metazoa; Chordata; Mammalia; Rodentia; Cricetidae
Gene: CUNH17orf114
Gene name: chromosome unknown C17orf114 homolog
Exons: 3
Source: RefSeq, a predicted model, not a curated record